This is a long non-coding RNA of Oncorhynchus tshawytscha (Chinook salmon), 3437 nucleotides long. Lineage: Eukaryota; Metazoa; Chordata; Actinopteri; Salmoniformes; Salmonidae. The record is from Ensembl.
CCUAAAGCAACAUGUGUCUCAGAACUGUGGGAAAGAAUGCAUUGUGCAACAACUCCUAACUUCCCAGAGCUACUUAUUGAGUGGAUUGUCAAACAACUAGAGUCUAUGGUGGUUAUAUCCUUAACUGCUAUGUCAUUUUAUUUCUUGGUGGAAUGGGAAUAGGCUAAAUAUAAAAUAUGUAGAGCACUUGUCUUAUCACACAGGCAAGUAGUCCAUCUAAGUCCAAUCAGACUUCGGUAGCAUUUUCUGCCAUCUUGCGUGAGUUAUCUGUGAAAGAGACUAAAAUUAAAUAAUUUGCAGGCCUAUGUAUCAACAAUUGGAAAUUCCCAUCGAUUUGAUGAUGUCAUUACACACAUGCUUUGAAGCAAGAGAGCGCUGCGAUGCAUCAUGACAUUGCCGUCUGAUAUCAAGAGGAGAGUAACGUAUUUACCUCGACUGUUUUAAAGAAAACUUGAGGAAUAUCUAAAGCCUGUGUCGUCAUAACAAGGAAAGUCUGUCUUCCACGGCAACCUUGGAUCGGGAGUUAAACUACUCUGCACAAGUUGAAGUUUAAAAUCGGCAGGCAUAUUGUGACGCUGCGGUUGUCCAACCCAAGACCACGUCCAUUUCACUGGAGAAGCUAUGAUGACAGACGUCUUGAGGAUGUUUUUUAUUGGGACAGCGUUCACUGUCCUCGCCGCGCUGAUGGGAAUGGUGGAUUCAUUUGGUGGUCUCAUGUAUGUCCAAGACGCGGAUCCUGCAGAGUAUUUACAGUUGGACAGCAGUACUGACAUACGGAUGUCUUCAACCCAUUCGAGAGGUUCAGGGAGUACCAAACGCAUUGGACCAUGAUGAGGACGUCAUGUAGAGUAGAAUUAACACGAACAGGCUUGGUUUGUGUUGUGUUUUCGUGUGUCAAUUACUGCUUGCACUGUACAAUGUGUACACUGAUUUUUACAAUAACAUUAUUGAGUCUUUUAUCAUGGUUCCUUUCAGUUCCACUAGUUGGUGUCCCACUCCCACUGGGCAAAAACUGGUUGAAUCAGCGCUGUUUCCACGUUAUUUCAACCCCCGAAAAAUCUAUGUGAUUACGUUGAAUGAGUAGAAAACGGAUUGGAUUUGCAAAAAGUCAUCAACGUAAGGGCACUCUGUCUCUUUUAACCUGAAUCCAAUGACAUAGUGAUAUUUUUUUGUUGAAUUGUGCAAUUCAGAACUAGACGUGUAACUGACGUCUGUGCGCAGUGGGGUUUGAUUUAUACAGGUCACACGGGUUUGAUGAGUUUAACUUGUUUUUCACAUUUGAAGAACACCCUAGUUGAUGUUUAUAGUAGGCUAUUACUAAAGUACUAGGUCAUAUUGACAGCUAUUAUUAUGUAUUUCUAUCUAUAUACUAUACUAAUACUUACUUGGUAGGACAGCAGGUAGAGCGUUGGGGCUGUAACUGAAAGAUCGCAGGCUUGAAUCCCCGAGCUGACUAGGGGGAAAAAUCUGUCUGUGCCCUUGAGCAAGUUACUUAAUUUAGCAAACGCUAAAUCGCUCUGGAUGGGAGCGUCUGCUAAAUGACAAAAAUGUACUAAUCUGUAUACAUGGUAUUUGCCUAUAUCGUGUAGGCUAUUUGUUGUAUAUUGAAGAUCACAUCAUGUGUAAAAGAAAAAGGGCUACAUUAUGCACUAAUUGACUCUUCAUCAUGCACUGUAAUAUUGUGUCACAAAGAAAGUUGUAAAGAAAAAACACUUUUAUAGGCUAUUGUCAAUAAAAUGAAUAGACACGAUUUAGACACGAUUAAAGAGUGCUGCUGAUUCCACAUAAAUACAUACAAUCAAUUGACACAACAGACAUAGAAUGUAUGCCAGCAAGGCUGUGACUUGUUAUCUCCCUAAUCAACCUCUGUUUCCCCUGCUGUUUACAAAAUCUAUUGGCAUGGGGACAAAAUAAUGUUUAUAUCUGUUCAGCCUGCAUCUUGGCAUAACGGGUUCUCAAACUUUUUGGGGCUGUGGAACCCUUUUGUGAAAGCAAAUUUGUAAGGGACCCCCCUGAUAAUCAGAACACAACUCCAGUGUUGUACAUGGCCGGACGAACCAAGUCUCAGGCCUUGUGAUGGAACAUUUUAAAGGUCCACAUACUGGCAUCGGAGAGAACAUUUAGCAGUUUUCUAGCUAAUUUCCUGCAGUUCUAUGCAUUUUAUCAUGGGGCAGAGAGAUUGUUUGUUGGUCCAACUUUAAAGCUAAUAUCCUGCAAUUCUACACACAUUGUACAGUUUUUCCCGUGUAGCACAGCGGUCUAAGGCAUUGCAUCUCAGUGCUUAAGGCGUCACUACAGACACCCUGGAUCGAAUCCAGGCUGUAUCACAACCGGCUGUGAUUGGGAGUCCCAUAGGGCGGCGCACAAUUAGCCCAGCGCCAUCCGGAUUUGGCCUGUAUAGGCCGUCAUUGUAAAUAAGAAUUUGUUCUUAUCUGACUUGCCAACUUAAAUAAAGGUUCAAUAAAAAAAUGUGAAAAAAUUGCAGUGCAUUUGUUUAAAACUGCCAAGAAACACUCUGUGUCCCUGAUUUAGCCCACUGCAGUAAAAGGUUAACCCUGGGCAACAUGGGCAUGGGAGGCUCACAGGGAUAUUGGUAUCCACAGAACUCCAUCAAUUAUCAAUUAUUUAUUUGUUUACACAAAUCUACUUUGAAACCAAAGUAUACACCUCACACACAUGGUUAUGGGCUUUAAAAAAGGAGACACCUGUACCAUGUCAGAUAUAGAGUUGAAAUCUUUUGAAUUUUGAGUAUGCAACCCAAUAUUAUACUUUAUAUACAUCACAGAAGACUGAAAUAUAACAAAACCAGUUGUUUAAAAAAAACGAGGUUUAUUUAUGAAAAAUAUGAAUAACAUUGCACCCAUGAGGCCAGUAGUCAUUUGACUGCAGGACAAGACUACCAACCUGAAUUGUAGAUUAAUAAUAUUAGGCCUACAUGUAUUGUCCCCUCUGAACUUAAUCCACAGAUCCCUUGGCCAAAAUGUGUUUAAUCUGUUAUUAUUAGUAACAUUCUUAAAAUAAUUACAUGUAAAUAUAUAUAUAUAUAUAUAUAUAUACAUACAUUACCGUUCAAAAGUUUGGGGUCACUUAGAAAUGUCCUUGUUUUUGAAAGAAAAGCACAUGUUUUGUCCAUUAAAAUAACAUAAAAUUGAUCUGAAAUACAGUGUAGACAUUGUUAAUGUUGUAAAUGACUAUUGUAGCUGGAAACGGCAGAUUUUUUAGGGAAUAUCUACAUAGGUGUACAGAUAGAUGCCCAUUAUCAGCAACCAUCACUCCUGUGUUCCAAUGGCACAUUGUGUUAGCUAAUCCAAGUUUAUAAUUUUAAAAGCCUAAUUGAUAAUUAGAAAACCCUUUUUAAAUUAUGUUAGCACAGCUGAAAACUGUUGUUCUGAUUAAAGAAGCAAUAAAACUGUCCUUCUUUAGACUUUCUUCUGAAA